This 559-nucleotide ribosomal RNA is filed under the name Purpureocillium lilacinum. Its description in RNAcentral is "eukaryotic LSU rRNA". It matches the Rfam family "Eukaryotic large subunit ribosomal RNA", at positions 56 to 643 of the family's 3401-position model. The record is from RNAcentral. Lineage: Eukaryota; Fungi; Ascomycota; Sordariomycetes; Hypocreales; Ophiocordycipitaceae.
AAGAACCAACAGGGAUUGCCCCAGUAACGGCGAGUGAAGCGGCAACAGCUCAAAUUUGAAAUCUGGCCCCCAGGGCCCGAGUUGUAAUUUGCAGAGGAUGCUUUUGGCGCGGUGCCUUCCGAGUUCCCUGGAACGGGACGCCAUAGAGGGUGAGAGCCCCGUCUGGUCGGACGCCUAGCCUGUGUAAAGCUCCUUCGACGAGUCGAGUAGUUUGGGAAUGCUGCUCUAAAUGGGAGGUAUAUGUCUUCUAAAGCUAAAUACCGGCCAGAGACCGAUAGCGCACAAGUAGAGUGAUCGAAAGAUGAAAAGCACUUUGAAAAGAGGGUUAAAUAGUACGUGAAAUUGUUGAAAGGGAAGCGCUUGUGACCAGACUUGGGCCCGGUGGAUCAUCCAGCGUUCUCGCUGGUGCACUCCGCCGGGUUCAGGCCAGCAUCAGUUCGCCGCGGGGGAAAAAGGCUUCGGGAACGUGGCUCCUACGGGAGUGUUAUAGCCCGUUGCAUAAUACCCUGGGGCGGACUGAGGUUCGCGCUCCGCAAGGAUGCUGGCGUAAUGGUCAUCA